This 389-nucleotide ribosomal RNA is filed under the name uncultured bacterium. RNAcentral describes it as "bacterial SSU rRNA". It matches the Rfam family "Bacterial small subunit ribosomal RNA", at positions 29 to 409 of the family's 1533-position model. The record is from RNAcentral.
AAUGAACGCUGGCGGCGCGCCUAAUACAUGCAAGUCGAGCGAGAAGACGUAGCAAUACGUUUGUAAAGCGGCGAACGGGUGAGGAAUACAUGGGUAACCUACCCUAGAGUGGGGAAUAACUAGCCGAAAGGUUAGCUAAUACCGCGUACGCUCCUUGGACUUCGGUUCAGGGAGGAAAGCGAUGCCGAGGGUAUCGCGCUCUUGGAUGGGCUCAUGUCCUAUCAGCUUGNGGUGAGGUAACGGCUCACCAAGGCUUCGACGGGUAGCUGGUCUGAGAGGACGAUCAGCCACACUGGCACUGCGACACGGGCCAGACUCCUACGGGAGGCAGCAGUAAGGAAUAUUGCGCAAUGGGCGAAAGCCUGACGCAGCGACGCCGCGUGGGGGGA